GUGCGUCAGAAAAGGAGAGAUGGUUGGCAGUCCCCUGCACAAGGUCGGAUCGGGUCAAUCGACCCCCACUCUCCCGAGGCAUGCAACGCCCCCUACUCCUGGGGCGGCCUUUUCCCUCUCCUCU
Molecule: non-coding RNA, 124 nt
Organism: Opisthorchis viverrini
Lineage: Eukaryota; Metazoa; Platyhelminthes; Trematoda; Opisthorchiida; Opisthorchiidae
Source: Rfam